Molecule: unclassified non-coding RNA, 119 nt
Organism: Cercocebus atys (sooty mangabey)
Lineage: Eukaryota; Metazoa; Chordata; Mammalia; Primates; Cercopithecidae
Rfam family: Y RNA
About the family: Y RNAs are components of the Ro ribonucleoprotein particle (Ro RNP), in association with Ro60 and La proteins. The Y RNAs and Ro60 and La proteins are well conserved, but the function of the Ro RNP is not known.
Source: Ensembl
GGCUGGUCCCAAACAAAGGUAAUGAGUUAUCUCAAUUGAUUGUUCACAAUCAGCUAUAGAUCUAACUCUUUGUUUUAUUCUUUCCUCCCCUUCUCACUAGUCUUCUUGACUGGUCUUGU